UUUUGAUAAGGGCGGGAUCGUAGCCCGCCUGUGCAGGGCUACAACCUGCCGCCUACCUCGGCCACCU
RNAcentral lists this transfer RNA (67 nucleotides) under Lamprolepis smaragdina. Its description in RNAcentral is "partial tRNA-Tyr". The record is from RNAcentral. Lineage: Eukaryota; Metazoa; Chordata; Lepidosauria; Squamata; Scincidae.